Molecule: ribosomal RNA, 447 nt
Filed under: uncultured bacterium
Lineage: Bacteria
Description: bacterial SSU rRNA
Rfam family: Bacterial small subunit ribosomal RNA
Source: RNAcentral
CAGCCAGACUCCUACGGGAGGCAGCAGUGGGGGAUAUUGCACAAUGGGGGCAACCCUGAUGCAGCGACGCCGCGUGAGCGAUGGAGUACUUCGGUCUGUAAAGCUCUGUCAGCAGGGAAGAGAAUGACGGUACCUGACCAAGAAGCCCCGGCUAAAUACGUGCCAGCAGCCGCGGUAAUACGUAUGGGGCAAGCGUUAUCCGGAUUUACUGGGUGUAAAGGGAGCGUAGGCGGCAGGGCAAGCCUGAUGUGAAAGCCCGGGGCCCAACCCCGGGACUGCCCUUGGAACUGCAUGGCUGGAGUGCGGGAGGGGCAGGCGGAAUUCCUGGUGUAGCGGUGAAAUGCGUAGAUAUCAGGAGGAACACCGGCGGCGAAGGCGGCCUGCUGGACCGCGACUGACGUUGAGGCUCGAAAGCGUGGGGAGCGAACAGGAUUAGAUACCCGAGUA